Molecule: long non-coding RNA, 953 nt
Filed under: Citrus sinensis (sweet orange)
Lineage: Eukaryota; Viridiplantae; Streptophyta; Magnoliopsida; Sapindales; Rutaceae
Description: long non-coding RNA (CSIN_LNC001747)
Source: RNAcentral
AAAAGGUCUAGAGAAGUCAAGAUCAAGAGGUAAGUAAAAUUUCAACUACAAUGUAAGGACAAAAUUAUUUUUAUACUUAAGUUCAGUUUUAACAAUCCCUUUAUAUUAUGAUUGCUAUUAUAGUGUGAUUAGUUAUAUUCUAAAUCUUUAUAUAGUCGGCUCUGCCGCCUAAUAUAUGAUGCUAUGGUCGGCUCUGUCGCCUAAUAUGUGAUGCUAUGGUCGGCUUUGCCGUCUAAUAUGUGAUGUCAUGGUCGGCUCUGCCGCCUAAUAUGUGAUACUUAUACUUAAUUAUGCUAUGGUCGGCUAUGUCGCCUAUACUAAAGACUCUUGUCUUUAAAUAAUGUUGUGUGUUGAUUUUGUUAUGCAUCGAGGAAUUUCAAAUGUGAUAAGUUGCAUUGGAUGCAUGCAUAUCAUGGACUACAUUAUGAAGAAGACGUUUCAGAAAAUGAAUUUAUGAAAAAUGGGUGAUUGUACUAUCAGGUGGCAAAACUCUACGGAGGGCAAGCCCUCAAAGCUAAAUUGAAAGAAAUCUUUUGGGGACGGCGAUACGUAAUGCCCAAAAGUUUAACUAAUGAGGCCCAAGGGCAUAAUGUUUAAAGAGUAAAAGUGCCAGCCUUGUAGUGCAACAUACCUAGAGCCCAAAUAAAGUUGUUUUGUAUUUUCUAAGUUUAUUUUAAGAGCUUAAUAUGGUCAUCCAUAUGCAUCAUAAUUUAUACAUGCAUCAAAGUGUUAUCUUACUGGGCAUUAGCUCACUAAGUCCUUACAUUGUAGGUAACGAUGAUUAGGACAAGCUGGCGCCGAGUCCUAACUAGGACGAAGUGCAUAUGGGCAUAACCAACCUUGGGAUUUUAUGAUGGGCUUAGCUUUGUGUUAAUAAAAAUAAGCAUCUUGGCUUUAUGUAAUAAUUAAGUUUUUAAAUAAACUAAGAAAUCUCUAAAUGACUCUUCCUUUUC